UGCGUAGGCGGUUUAAUAAGUCGGGUGUGAAAGCCCCAAGCUUAACUUGGGAAUUGCAUCCGAUACUGUUGAACUAGAGUGUGGUAGAGGGAAGCGGAAUUCCGGGUGUAGCGGUGAAAUGCGUAGAUAUCCGGAGGAACACCAGUGGCGAAGGCGGCUUUCUGGUCUAACUCUGACGCUGAGGAGCGAAAGCUAGGGGAGCGAACAGGAUUAGAUACCCUGGUAGUCC
Molecule: ribosomal RNA, 229 nt
Filed under: uncultured bacterium
Lineage: Bacteria
Description: partial 16S ribosomal RNA
Rfam family: Bacterial small subunit ribosomal RNA
Source: RNAcentral